UGGGGAAUAUUGGACAAUGGGCGCAAGCCUGAUCCAGCCAUGCCGCGUGAGUGAUGAAGGCCCUAGGGUUGUAAAGCUCUUUCACCGGUGAAGAUAAUGACGGUAACCGGAGAAGAAGCCCCGGCUAACUUCGUGCCAGCAGCCGCGGUAAUACGAAGGGGGCUAGCGUUGUUCGGAUUUACUGGGCGUAAAGCGCACGUAGGCGGACUUUUAAGUCAGGGGUGAAAUCCCGGGGCUCAACCCCGGAACUGCCUUUGAUACUGGAAGUCUUGAGUAUGGUAGAGGUGAGUGGAAUGCCGCGUGUAGAGGUGAAAUUCGUAGAUAUUCGGAGGAACACCAGUGGCGAAGGCGGCUCACUGGACCAUUACUGACGCUGAGGUGCGAAAGCGUGGGGAGCAAACAGG
Molecule: ribosomal RNA, 404 nt
Filed under: Actinomycetes bacterium
Lineage: Bacteria; Bacillati; Actinomycetota; Actinomycetes
Description: Actinobacteria bacterium partial 16S ribosomal RNA
Rfam family: Bacterial small subunit ribosomal RNA
Source: RNAcentral